CGUGGGUAACCUGCCCAAGAGAUCGGGAUAACACCUGGAAACAGAUGCUAAUACCGGAUAACAACAGAUGAUGCCUAUCAACUGUUUAAAAGAUGGUUCUGCUAUCACUCUUGGAUGGACCUGCGGUGCAUUAGCUAGUUGGUAGGGUAACGGCCUACCAAGGCGAUGAUGCAUAGCCGAGUUGAGAGACUGAUCGGCCACAUUGGGACUGAGACACGGCCCAAACUCCUACGGGAGGCAGCAAC
RNAcentral lists this ribosomal RNA (245 nucleotides) under uncultured Lactobacillus sp. Its description in RNAcentral is "partial 16S ribosomal RNA". It matches the Rfam family "Bacterial small subunit ribosomal RNA", at positions 116 to 353 of the family's 1533-position model. The record is from RNAcentral. Lineage: Bacteria; Bacillati; Bacillota; Bacilli; Lactobacillales; Lactobacillaceae.